GAUACGAGGAAAUAAAAAGGGGCAAGUGCCCGGAACCUCGAAAGAAAAGAAAAAGUGAGACGAGAGGUAAAAAUGGACAAGUGUCCGAUAGUAGAAUUAGGGGUACAAGAUACCCACCUGAGAGAAAAGAAAAGGAAAAUAUAGAGCAUCUCAUUCUCCUCAAUAAGUUUCAAGAGAGCAAGAAAGGUAUGUAUCCCCUCAAAAGACCACA
RNAcentral lists this long non-coding RNA (211 nucleotides) under Sorghum bicolor (sorghum). RNAcentral's name for it is "long non-coding RNA (SBIC_LNC002449)". Lineage: Eukaryota; Viridiplantae; Streptophyta; Magnoliopsida; Poales; Poaceae. The record is from RNAcentral.